This 1033-nucleotide ribosomal RNA is filed under the name uncultured Mollicutes bacterium. RNAcentral describes it as "bacterial SSU rRNA". It matches the Rfam family "Bacterial small subunit ribosomal RNA", at positions 8 to 1046 of the family's 1533-position model. The record is from RNAcentral. Lineage: Bacteria; Bacillati; Mycoplasmatota; Mollicutes.
AGAGUUCGAUCCUGGCUCAGGAUAAACGCCGGCGGCGUGCCUAAUACAUGCAAGUCGAACGGAGGUAGCAAUACCUUAGUGGCGAACGGGUGAGUAACACGUUGGUAACCUGCCCCUAGGACCGGAAUACCAGGCGGAAACGCUUGCUAAUGCCGGAUGUUGCCCCGGAGACGAAAGUCACCGGGAUGAAAGGCGGCAAUUGCCGCGCCAAGGGAUGGACCUGCGUCGCAUUAGCUAGUUGGCGGGAUAAAGGCCCACCAAGGCGAGGAUGCGUAGCCGAGCUGAGAGGCUAAACGGCCACAUUGGGACUGAGACACGGCCCAGACUCCUACGGGAGGCAGCAGUAGGGAGUAUUUGGCAAUGGGGGAAACCCUGACCGAGCAACGCCGCGUGCGCGAUGAAGGCCUUCGGGUCGUAAAGCGCUGUGAUUCGCUGGGAAACCCAGAGGGAGUGGAAAGCCCUCUGGCUGACCGGCCUAUUAGAAAGCAACUGCUAACUACGUGCCAGCAGCAGCGGUAAUACGUAGGUUGCAAGCGUUAUCCGGAAUUAUUGGGCGUAAAGAGUGAGCAGGCGGCUUUGCAAGCCGGGGGUCAAAUGCGGCAGCUUAACUGCCGUUCGUCCCCGGAACUGCAUGGCUAGAGUGCUGGAGAGGCAAGCGGAACUCCUCAUGUAGCGGUGAAAUGCGCAGAUAUGAGGAAGAACACCAGUGGCGAAGGCGGCUUGCUGGACAGUAACUGACGCUCAGUCACGAAAGCGUGGGGAGCAAAUAGGAUUAGAUACCCUAGUAGUCCACGCCGUAAACGUUGAGGACCAGGUGCCGGGGGCAUACCUCGGUGUCCGAGCUAACGCAUUGAGUCCUCCGCCUGGGUACUACGUUCGCAAGAAUAAAACUUAAAGGAAUUGACGGGGGCCCGCACAAGCAGUGGAGCAUGUGGUUUAAUUCGUGGCUACGCGGAAAACCUUACCUGGGUUUGACAUCCCUGUAAAGGACCUAGAGAUAGGUAGAUAGUUAUACAGGUGAACGGUGGUGCAU